UACGUAGGGACCAAGCGUUGUUCGGAUUUACUGGGCGUAAAGGGCGCGUAGGCGGCAAUUCAAGUCAGCUGUGAAAUCUCCGGGCUCAACUCGGAACGGUCAGCUGAUACUGCUUUGCUAGAGUGCAGAAGGGGCAAUCGGAAUUCUUGGUGUAGCGGUGAAAUGCGUAGAUAUCGAGAGGAACACCUGAGGUGAAGACGGGUUGCUGGGCUGACACUGACGCUGAGGCGCGAAAGCUAGGGUAGCAAACGGG
RNAcentral lists this ribosomal RNA (253 nucleotides) under uncultured bacterium. Its description in RNAcentral is "partial 16S ribosomal RNA". It matches the Rfam family "Bacterial small subunit ribosomal RNA", at positions 524 to 776 of the family's 1533-position model. The record is from RNAcentral.